UACGAAGGGGGCUAGCGUUGUUCGGAAUUACUGGGCGUAAAGCGCGCGCAGGCGGUUUUUCAAGUCAGUGGUGAAAGCCCGGAGCUCAACUCCGGAACUGCCAUUGAAACUGUAAAACUUGAGGACGAGAGAGGUGAGUGGAAUUCCCAGUGUAGAGGUGAAAUUCGUAGAUAUUCGGAAGAACACCAGUGGCGAAGGCGACUAACUGGACAUGUAUUGACGCUGAGGUGCGAAAGCGUGGGGAGCAAACAGG
This 253-nucleotide ribosomal RNA is filed under the name uncultured bacterium. Its description in RNAcentral is "partial 16S ribosomal RNA". It matches the Rfam family "Bacterial small subunit ribosomal RNA", at positions 524 to 776 of the family's 1533-position model. The record is from RNAcentral.